Molecule: RNA transcript, 4450 nt
Organism: Zea mays
Lineage: Eukaryota; Viridiplantae; Streptophyta; Magnoliopsida; Poales; Poaceae
Gene name: WPP domain-associated protein
Exons: 7
Source: RefSeq, a predicted model, not a curated record
CAGCGGGCCCACUGACCAGCAGCUACUCCAGCAGGCUGACGGCCGUUACGCGCCGCGCCCGAUGCCAGUUUUACCCUCCUCCCGCGGCGCGGUGAGCUGACGACUCGUUCUUCCUUCGCUUCUCUAGCAUAUACUUGGUCGUGAGGAAGAGCGGCCGCGGCGUCGUCUUCCUCCUCGCGAUCGCCCGCACAAAUCCAAACGAAUUCACUGCGACCAGUCUCCGAUUCACCAACGCCCUCCUCUUGUACUGCCGCCUUCGUCCCCAGGCCGGCAGCCCUUCCUGCCACCUCGCUGAGGGCUGCGGAACAACUGAGCCCCCGUGCCGCGUGCCGUCUGCAACGGCGCCGAGGAGGUGCUAAAGCAGGCAAGCAGCCGCCCCCGCUGCGCCGCCAAUGGCUCGGAUCCAGCCUGUAAGUGACUCCGUGCCGCCGCGCUUGUGUUGUUCAGGAUUUUGUGGUGGUUCAGGGCCUCUGGGGUUUCGUUUUUUCGGAACUUCGGAUUGGUUGGUGCCGUUCGGAGCGGGGAUGUCGUGCGUGUGGUUUGAGGCGCUUUGCCGGCGUUUUUGUCAGUUUUUUUUUUGGAUCGAGGCGGAUGAGCGAUUCCAGUCAGGCAACUUCACUGCUCCAGUGCAAGCUCUGCUUUUGGUGCGGGAGUUCGGAAAUCACAAGGGAGACGAAGUGACGAACAGAGCGGGUCAAAACUGAUCUCACCUUGCAGUAUUGCCGUUACUUCCUUACGCCUUACCGCAGCUGGCUGUGGCUUCUCACUUCUGUGUGUGAUUGAGUGUGGUGUGGAAUGCAAGUAUGGAAUAAUUGUCUAUGUACUGGCGUUCACGUUCUGUUACCCGUCCUGCUGCUAUCAAUGUUACAUGUUACUUCACAUCCGCCACCAGAGUCCGUCUACAUUGAUUUAUUACUUUACUUUACUGGACGGAUCCUACCGCUACCGGUUAGUGAAUUUCAGAACAGUAAUGCAUGUGUUGGAUGAAAGAAUGGACCCAUUUCUUGGUAGAUUGGCUAGACCAGUCACCAUUGACCAAUCAUGGUUUACCGCCCAGGGUGAUCUGUCCUUGCUCAACAGACCGGCUUCCAGUGACACUAAGACUUCUGCAGAGCUUAACAAUGGUUUAAUCGAGUUCAACGAUGCAACUGCGCCAUCGCCAGGAUUGUCGUGUCAUAAUUGCUCUAGUGUCGCAAGCAACUUCAAACCAUUUGCAACUGUAGUGUCAGGGCUGCAUCAACACUUCUUGGAUGCAAAUGUAGAAGUUACUUACGCAGAAUACUUGGAUUUGAUGAAAGUGGAAGUCGAUCAGCAGCUUAAUAAGCUCAUCGAGGAUAUAAGGGUCCUCAAGAGCUAUAACGUGGCUCAUAAAUGUGACCUAAAUGACCCGUGCUCUACACUAGGCCAUGUUGGGAAGCUGACUGAGAUAGACGAGGGGUUCAACAGCUUGAAGUUGCUGCUGGUUGUGGUGUUCCGACAAAUUAGAGAGAUGCUCACACUGGUUAAUUCUUCAAUUCAUGAUUUUCAGUGGGAGCAUGAGUUACAGUUAGAAAUUACUGGCUUUAUUAUUGGAGACUGUGUCAGAGGUCUUAAGGAUGAACUAGAGAGGAAGUUGUAUGAGCAAAGCUCCAUUGUGAACAGUCUAAGAAAAAAUUCGCAAGAAACUGUGGCUCAGUGUGCUUCCAUCCGUGAAGACCUGAUUGCUAUUUCUAAUAUGCUAUUACCUUCAGAAGAGGAACACCAUAUUCCUCUGUGUAGACAUGAAAGUUUGGGUAAUUGGAGCGACAGAUGGAAGUUCAGCUUUUUCAGAAAGAUACCACAAAAGGAUCACUCUCUAUCUUCCUCUGAGGAAAAUCAGAAAUCUGCAACACAGAAAUCUAUAAGUCCCAGUGAAGUUAUUUCAGAAAAAUCUGACUUCCGACAUCUGAAGGGCAUGACUGGACAAGAAAUUCUUAACUAUUUCAGAUCUGAGAUCAGUAAAUUGAAAAUGUUGCAUGAGCUGGAUUUGCAGGAGAAAACAGAAGAGCUGUUCAAAUUCAAACGAGAGAAAUGGUCACUGGCUCUCAAGUACGAUGUAGAAUUUGAGCCUUUGAGGAAGAGAUUCCCUGAAGUCAUUUCAAGAUUUGACCAAAUUAUGUCCAAUGGAAUGGAAGCACCUACAAUCAGUACUAGUGAUGCAGUUGAUGAAAGGAGCAGAUUGAAUAGUAGAAUUGAUUCACUAUACUGUGAAAACCAGCAUCUUAGGAAUUUGCUUGCAGAGAAGACAAAGAAUGUUCAGGAAUUAUCCUGCCAGAUAUCUGAUGCCAGCAAGAAAAUGUCAUCUCAAUAUUAUCUAGAGAAAGAACAUUUGAGACAAGUCAAGAACAUUAAAGAAGAGUAUGAGGAUCUAUAUGUUGAAAGUACAAUAAGAGAUGAAAUUUACCAAACUGUUACAAGCAAAUUGGUUGAUAGUCAUAGGGACAUCUUGGAGGAGACUACCCAAAUUUUGCAUGCUAAAGUUUCCUCACUUGAAGCUGCACAUUCAGAAAAGGACAUGGCGCUGUGUUUAUCUAACGAAGAAAAUAGGAAGCUGAAGGAAAAGUUGUCAAUACUAGAAAAGGUGCAUUUCAUCAAAGAUAAUCAGCAUGAUCAAUUGCUAAUGAAACAAGAGAGUGAGGAAAUGAUACUCCGUGAUAUUGAGAUGGAGCCCCACGUGCCGCCACAAAGAUCAUGUCAGAUUUCUGAUCAGGAUAUGCAGUAUGAAGAACUCAUCAAGCUGAAUCAGACAUUAGAGAUGGCCUCAACCACCUUAAAAGAAGUUGAAACAAAAAAGUUGGAUUACAGUGACAUCACUAGUGAAAGAAAGCAAGAAAAACAGUUAGAUUCCAUCCUGAUAUCUAUCAUGGAUUUGUCAAAAGAAUUUGUGGAGAUGGAACAUAAAAUGUCAGAAGAAAUAAAAGGAAAUGAGAAAAAGACGGAGAAUCUAAAUGAUCGGUGCAACCAUAUGGUGCAGCAGGCCAUCGUACUGACAAAGAAGGGCCUGUGGUACAAGCAAAUGCUUGAGAUAAGACGUUCUGAGCUUCAAAAGGCUGAAUCUGAGGUUGACGUUUUAGGAGGCAAGGUCAAUGCACUCUUAAGUCUUGUUCAAAAGAUAUAUGUAACUCUUGAGCACUACUCUCCUGUUUUUCAGCACCAUCCUGUGCUACUGGAUGCUUUCUUGAAGACAUGCAAGCUUGUUGCAGGUAUAAGAAGUAGACAAAAAGAGAACUUGCAAGAUACAACAUAAGUUGGAAUAGCUAGAUUACUGUGAGUUCGUGACGUUAGUUUCUACCACACCGUGACUCCCUAACUCUUCUUAGAAGACAGCAAAAGCAGUUAACUAUAACCACAAAUGAAGGGGCAUCGCUCUCUCCCGUGGGCGGCUCGGGAGGCGAAACCCUAGCCGCUGCCCCACUCUCCCCCGCCCUCUCCGUCUCGCCGCUGCCAGAGGGGCUGGCCGGGUUGGCCGCGCGGGCCCCCAUGACGGCGGCGGCGAGGCAUCCCCUGUUGGCGUUGAGAGCUCCCAGAUUCGUGCGGGGAAGGAGCUCGUGGCCAAGGCUUGAUCUUGGUGGCCGUGGUGGUGCUGUGCGACGUCGUGGGCACCUCAUGGGGAGAUUCGUGCUGUGCGGCGAGGCAUCCCCUGUUGGCGUUCCGGAGUUUUGGCCUGACAGGUUGUGCUGGGAGCUUCUUGGCGAAAGCCUCGCGACGGUGACGCCAUGGGCGCGGUUUUCCCUCAUAAGGGCGUCGCACGGUGAAAGCCCGAUCCAUCUUGGACAUGCGAUGAUGGCGUCCUCGAUGUCACUGCCUAGGCGCCGUUUUUGAAGUUCGUCUCGGCCACGUUGUUCUCUUUUGGUUGCUUUUGCUUCUCGGCGUCCGAUAUAUGGGUGGAGGUGUGGUCCUCCAGCGUGAAGUCGGAGCUGCUACAUCAGUUAAUGUGGGUCGACAACGAUGACAUAAGGCGUGCCCCCUUCUUCGCGGACCAGUUUGCUUCGGAGGCUGAGCGUUUUGCCGAGGCAGGGCGGAGGAUCAAGUUUGGAAGUCCUAUUGGUGAAGAAUCGGAACUGCCUCGCUCGGGUGUCUAGAGGCUUGGCAACGACGCCGCGCCGCGGUCUUCAUCCUUCUGUGCCGUUUUUGGGUAUAGACAUUGUUGGUUUCCUCAUUUGGCCUUGUGUUGCUCGUUUUGGAGAGUCGGUGUUGCUCGUCCUUUGUGUUGAGCUCGACCACAAUGAUCUUGUAUGAGCCUUGUGUGUUGGGCUACCAUUGUCUAGGUUGCUUGUGCACCCUGUGUAGGUAAUUGACUCGGUUUUCCUUAAAACUAGGUCAAUUCCUUUCUUCUUUUUAAUUGAGAAGUAGAGCUCCUGUCAUCACAUUAAAAAAACAUCAACACUGAUUUAUUAAAUGGUUAUGUUUCCUGCAGAAUAUUUUUUAUGAA